Molecule: ribosomal RNA, 630 nt
Filed under: Gordonia sihwensis
Lineage: Bacteria; Bacillati; Actinomycetota; Actinomycetes; Mycobacteriales; Gordoniaceae
Description: bacterial SSU rRNA
Rfam family: Bacterial small subunit ribosomal RNA
Source: RNAcentral
GAACGGGUGAGUAACACGUGGGUGAUCUGCCCUGGACUCUGGGAUAAGCCUGGGAAACUGGGUCUAAUACCGGAUAGGACCACUGAUUGCAUGGUUGGUGGUGGAAAGCUUUUGCGGUUCAGGAUGGGCCCGCGGCCUAUCAGCUUGUUGGUGGGGUAAUGGCCUACCAAGGCGACGACGGGUAGCCGACCUGAGAGGGUGAUCGGCCACACUGGGACUGAGACACGGCCCAGACUCCUACGGGAGGCAGCAGUGGGGAAUAUUGCACAAUGGGCGCAAGCCUGAUGCAGCGACGCCGCGUGAGGGAUGACGGCCUUCGGGUUGUAAACCUCUUUCGCUAGGGACGAAGCGUAAGUGACGGUACCUGGAGAAGAAGCACCGGCCAACUACGUGCCAGCAGCCGCGGUAAUACGUAGGGUGCGAGCGUUUUCCGGAAUUACUGGGCGUAAAGAGCUCGUAGGCGGUUUGUCGCGUCGUCUGUGAAAUUCUGCAACUCAAUUGCAGGCGUGCAGGCGAUACGGGCAGACUUGAGUACUACAGGGGAGACUGGAAUUCCUGGUGUAGCGGUGAAAUGCGCAGAUAUCAGGAGGAACACCGGUGGCGAAGGCGGGUCUCUGGGUAGUAACUGAC